RNAcentral lists this ribosomal RNA (1600 nucleotides) under Crocodylus niloticus (Nile crocodile). Its description in RNAcentral is "16S ribosomal RNA". The stretch from base 81 to 1501 matches the Rfam family "Bacterial large subunit ribosomal RNA". The record is from RNAcentral. Lineage: Eukaryota; Metazoa; Chordata; Crocodylia; Crocodylidae.
UUUUGAUCAGCCCACUCUAGCCCUCAAAAUCAGCCCCAAUAAAGUUAACUACACUAAACCAAAACAUUUUUAUGCCCAAGUAUCGGUGAGAGAAAAGACAGCAGGCGCGAUAGAGACAGUACCGCAAGGGAAAGAUGAAAUAAAAGUUUAACACAAAAGUACAACACAGCAAAGAUUAACCCUUUUACCUUUUGCAUUAUGGUUUAGCCAAACAUAGUCGUGGCAAGGAGCACUAAAGUCACUUACACCCGAAUCUGGGCGAGCUACUAGCCAGCAGAAGUAAUACAGCACCAACCCAUCUCUGUAGCAAAAGAGCGGGAAGACUGCCUAGUAGAAGUGAAAAGCCUAACGAGCCCAGUGAUAGCUGGUUGCUUGGGAAUAGAAUAUAAGUUCUACUGAAAACCUUCUGGUUCACCACGAUAAAGGACAAAGAAAGCUUUCAAGCUAUUUAAUGGGGGUACAGCCCCAUUAACACAGGACUCAACCUCUACCUAAGGGUAAAACUAAUUCGCACUUUAAAUGUAGGCUUUAAAGCAGCCAGCACAACGAAAGCGUCAAAGCUCGCACCAAAAAAAUACCUACAACAAAAUUAAACCCUACAGCACAACCAAGCCUUUCUAAAACAUUAGAAGUGAUUAUGCUAAAAUUAGUAAUAAGAAACUUGAUCUUCUCCUGAGCGCCAGCCUACACUACUCAUGACAUACUAUUGGUAAUUAACACCCUGCCCAUCUACCACAAACAUAAGGGCCACACACUGUUAACCCAACACAGGAGCGCAACAGGAAAGGCUAAACCCUGCAAAAGGAACUCGGCAAACAAAGAUUCCGACUGUUUACCAAAAACACAGCCCCCAGCCAACCAAGUAUUGGGGGUGAUGCCUGCCCAAUGACUUUAAGUUAAAUGGCCGCGGUAUCUACAACCGUGCGAAGGUAGCGUAAUCAUUUGUUCUUUAAAUAAGGACCAGUAUGAAAGGCUAAACGAGAAUCUAUCUGUCUCUUGCAGAAGGCCAGUGAAAUUGAUCUCCCUGUGCAAAAGCAGGGAUGUCAACAUUAGACGAGAAGACCCUGUGAAACUUUAAACCACUAAAUCACAAAAAUUGUAAAAUAUCACCCCAAGCGGGCUGACUACAAUUAGCACACUGAUUUAGCGUUUUCGGUUGGGGCGACCCCAAAAUAAAAAAAACUUUCCAGGAAAACAGUAACAUGACAACUACUGACCAAGACCAACACCACAAAGUGCUUAAAUGUAAUCAGAUCCGGCACACGCCGAUUCAUGAACUAAGCUACUCCAGGGAUAACAGCGCAAUCCCCUUCAAGAGCCCAUAUCGACAGGGGGGUUUACGACCUCGAUGUUGGAUCAGGACAUCCUAAUGGUGUAACCGCUAUUAACGGUUCGUUUGUUCAACGAUUAAAGUCCUACGUGAUCUGAGUUCAGACCGGAGCAAUCCAGGUCGGUUUCUAUCUAUGAAUGCGAACCUUUCUAGUACGAAAGGACCGAAAGAGCAAGGCCCAUGCCACUAAAGUAAGCCUUACCUAAAGCUUAAUGAAAACAACUAAAUUAACAACCAGGACAAUCACACCCCGCCUCAAUACAAGAGCAA